UCGAUUAAGGUUCGAUUCGAGCGCAGCGAGAAAGCGUUGCCGCAGGCAACGACCCGAAGGGCGAAGCGCGCAGCGCUGAGUCAUCCUUCCCCCACCACCA
This 100-nucleotide small RNA is filed under the name Salmonella enterica. Its description in RNAcentral is "partial RtT sRNA". It matches the Rfam family "RtT RNA", at positions 32 to 130 of the family's 130-position model. Rfam says of the family: This family represents a bacterial cis-regulatory element known as RtT RNA. The record is from RNAcentral. Lineage: Bacteria; Pseudomonadati; Pseudomonadota; Gammaproteobacteria; Enterobacterales; Enterobacteriaceae. RNAcentral also lists the same sequence under 2 other names.